This 497-nucleotide ribosomal RNA is filed under the name uncultured bacterium. RNAcentral describes it as "partial 16S ribosomal RNA". It matches the Rfam family "Bacterial small subunit ribosomal RNA", at positions 28 to 507 of the family's 1533-position model. The record is from RNAcentral.
GAUGAACGCUGGUGGCGUGCCUAAUACAUGCAAGUCGAGCGAACGGACGAGGAGCUUGCUCCUCUGGCGUUAGCGGCGGACGGGUGAGUAACACGUGGAUAACCUACCUAUAAGACUGGGAUAACUUCGGGAAACCGGAGCUAAUACCGGAUAAUAUAUUGAACCGCAUGGUUCAAUAGUGAAAGACGGUUUUGCUGUCACUUAUAGAUGGAUCCGCGCCGCAUUAGCUAGUUGGUAAGGUAACGGCUUACCAAGGCAACGAUGCGUAGCCGACCUGAGAGGGUGAUCGGCCACACUGGAACUGAGACACGGUCCAGACUCCUACGGGAGGCAGCAGUAGGGAAUCUUCCGCAAUGGGCGAAAGCUUGACGGAGCAACGCCGCGUGAGUGAUGAAGGUCUUCGGAUCGUAAAACUCUGUUAUUAGGGAAGAACAAAUGUGUAAGUAACUAUGCACGUCUUGACGGUACCUAAUCAGAAAGCCACGGCUAACUACGUG